AAUGAACGUUGGCGGCGUGGAUUAGGCAUGCAAGUCGAGCGUGAUCAGUUCCCUCACUUUGUGCUCUUUAGUGAAGAGCGUGAAGUGAGGGGACUGUGAAAGCGGCGAAAGGGAGAGUAACGCGUAGUUACGUACCCCGAGGCCCGGAAUAGCCACGGGAAACUGUGGGUAAUGCCGGAUAAUAUCUUAGGAUCAAAGAUGUGAUUUCACCUUGGGAGCGGACUGCGUCGUACUAGCUUGUUGGUGGGGUAAUGGCCUACCAAGGCGAUGAUGCGUAGCGGGUGUGAGAGCAUGACCCGUCUCACUGGGACUGAGACACUGCCCAGACACCUACGGGUGGCUGCAGUCGAGAAUCUUCGGCAAUGGACGAAAGUCUGACCGAGCGACGCCGCGUGCGGGAUGAAGGCCUUCGGGUUGUAAACCGCGAAAGUAGGGAGGAAGGCUUCGUGAAGAACGAGGUUUGACCGAUCUACAGUAAGGACGGGCUAAGUACGUGCCAGCAGCCGCA
RNAcentral lists this ribosomal RNA (508 nucleotides) under uncultured bacterium. RNAcentral describes it as "bacterial SSU rRNA". It matches the Rfam family "Bacterial small subunit ribosomal RNA", at positions 29 to 519 of the family's 1533-position model. The record is from RNAcentral.